RNAcentral lists this ribosomal RNA (477 nucleotides) under uncultured bacterium. Its description in RNAcentral is "partial 16S ribosomal RNA". It matches the Rfam family "Bacterial small subunit ribosomal RNA", at positions 28 to 506 of the family's 1533-position model. The record is from RNAcentral.
GACGAACGCUGGCGGCGUGCUUAACACAUGCAAGUCGAACGUGAUUUUUGUGGAAAUUCUUUCGGGAAUGGAAAUGAAAUGAAAGUGGCGAACGGGUGAGUAACACGUGAGCAACCUACCUUACACAGGGGGAUAGCCGUUGGAAACGACGAUUAAUACCGCAUGAGACCACAGAAUCGCAUGAUAUAGGGGUCAAAGAUUUAUCGGUGUAAGAAGGGCUCGCGUCUGAUUAGCUAGUUGGAAGGGUAAAGGCCUACCAAGGCGACGAUCAGUAGCCGGUCUGAGAGGAUGAACGGCCACAUUGGAACUGAGACACGGUCCAAACUCCUACGGGAGGCAGCAGUGGGGAAUAUUGCACAAUGGGGGGAACCCUGAUGCAGCGACGCCGCGUGAGCGAAGAAGGUUUUCGAAUCGUAAAGCUCUGUCCUAUGAGAAGAUAAUGACGGUAUCAUAGGAGGAAGCCCCGGCUAAAUACGU